CAAUAGCGUAUAUUAAAGUUGUUGCGGUUAAAAAAGCUCGUAGUUGGAUUUCUGUUGGGAACGACCGGUCCGCCCAUUGGGUGUGUAUCUGGCUUGUUCUCGGCAUCUUCUUGGUGAACGUUGCUGCACUUGACUGUGUGGAGCGCUACCCAGGACUUUUACUUUGAGGAAAUUAGAGUGUUUCAAGCAGGCAUAUGCCUUGAAUACAUUAGCAUGGAAUAAUAAGAUAGGACCUCGGUUCUAUUUUUGUUGGUUUCUAGAGCUGAGGUAAUGAUUAAUAGGGAUAGUUGGGGGCAUUCGUAUUUAACUGUCAGAGGUGAAAUUCUUGGAUUUAUGAAAGAUGAACUUAGGCGAAAGCAUUUACCAAGGAUGUUUUCAUUAAUCAAGAACGAAAGUUAGGGGAUCGAAGAUGAUCAGAUACC
This 422-nucleotide ribosomal RNA is filed under the name uncultured eukaryote. Its description in RNAcentral is "SSU rRNA". It matches the Rfam family "Eukaryotic small subunit ribosomal RNA", at positions 592 to 1016 of the family's 1831-position model. The record is from RNAcentral.